GACGAACGCUGGCGGCGUGCCUAAUACAUGCAAGUAGAACGCUGAAGGAGGAGCUUGCUUCUCUGGAUGAGUUGCGAACGGGUGAGUAACGCGUAGGUAACCUGCCUGGUAGCGGGGGAUAACUAUUGGAAACGAUAGCUAAUACCGCAUAAUAGCAGUUAUUGCAUGAUAACUGUUUGAAAGGUGCAAUUGCACCACUACCAGAUGGACCUGCGUUGUAUUAGCUAGUUGGUGGGGUAACGGCUCACCAAGGCGACGAUACAUAGCCGACCUGAGAGGGGGGUCGGCCACACUGGGACUGAGACACGGCCCAGACUCCUACGGGAGGCAGCAGUAGGGAAUCUUCGGCAAUGGACGGAAGUCUGACCGAGCAACGCCGCGUGAGUGAAGAAGGGUUUCGGAUCGUAAAGCUCUGUUGUAAGAGAAGAACGAGGGUGAGAGUGGAAAGUUCACACUGUGACGGUAUCUUACCAGAAAGGGACGGCUAACUACGUG
This 495-nucleotide ribosomal RNA is filed under the name uncultured bacterium. RNAcentral's name for it is "partial 16S ribosomal RNA". It matches the Rfam family "Bacterial small subunit ribosomal RNA", at positions 28 to 507 of the family's 1533-position model. The record is from RNAcentral.